CAGUCGCCACGGUAAUACGUAGGGUGCAAGCGUUAAUCGGAAUUACUGGGCGUAAAGCGUGCGCAGGCGGUUAUAUAAGACAGAUGUGAAAUCCCCGGGCUCAACCUGGGAACUGCAUUUGUGACUGUAUAGCUAUAGUACGGCAGAGGGGGAUGGAAUUCCGCGUGUAGCAGUGAAAUGCGUAGAUAUGCGGAGGAACACCGAUGGCGAAGGCAAUCCCCUGGGCCUGUACUGACGCUCAUGCACGAAAGCGUGGGGAGCAAACAGGAUUAGAUACCCCCGUAGUCCCUGUCUCUUAUAA
Molecule: ribosomal RNA, 301 nt
Filed under: uncultured bacterium
Lineage: Bacteria
Description: partial 16S ribosomal RNA
Rfam family: Bacterial small subunit ribosomal RNA
Source: RNAcentral